UACCAGCACCCCGAGUGGUCGGGACGAUUAUUGGGCCUAAAGCAUCCGUAGCCGGUUUUACAAGUCCCCCGUUAAAUCCAGCUGCUUAACAGAUGGGCUGCGGAGGAUACUAUAAGACUAGGAGGCAGGAGAGGCAAGCGGUACUCAGUGGGUAGGGGUAAAAUCCGUUGAUCCAUUGAAGACCACCAGUGGCGAAGGCGGCUUGCCAGAAUGCGCUCGACGGUGAGGGAUGAGAGCUGGGGGAGCAAACCGG
Molecule: ribosomal RNA, 253 nt
Filed under: uncultured bacterium
Lineage: Bacteria
Description: partial 16S ribosomal RNA
Rfam family: Archaeal small subunit ribosomal RNA
Source: RNAcentral